CAUAUCAAGUACUACAAAUUUCAUUCAUAUUAUGAGACAUCUAUCCAUAUUCUACAAUCCUAUUAUGACAUCUAUGUAAAGAACGCAAUGUGCUUUUAGAAAAUCUGAAUACGAGGGUAAUUGAAAGACUUGUAACAAGACGCUUUGUUGUUGACUUGCUGGAGCUGAGUUUCCAAAUGUUAAAAAAACGCUUCAUUAAAAUUCGUUUUCAAAAUUAAGUAGUCGGGAGAUAUUUUGCAAUAUUCCUGCUUGUGUCAUACACUAAUAUUUGAAAUUCUGUCGACAACUUACUCAAUGAAAUGAAUGUCUUUAAACUUCAUUUAACUUUUCAGUAAUCCUGGUACCCUGUUUAAGCAGUAUAAGUUGCACAAAAGAGAGCAGUGGAUCUUGUUUCUUUUCACUACAGCAACAACAACAAAAUACACUCAUUUUUCAUUAAUACAUGAUCUCAUAAAAUUUUAUAUUAUUUUCUUGUGUAGGAACCUGUUUUGUACCAGUUUGUUGAAUUCUUUCGAAAAAAACAAAUUCAAUCAGUUUAACAUGAGUUUUCAAGCUUCUCUUUAAGAUUAUGAGAAAUACAUUUUAGUCCAAUUUCCAACCAAAACAUGGAAACUUAUCAUCACAAAAAAACACUUAUCGCUGCUCUCAAAUGUUGAAAUGAAGCAUGAAAACACAACCGAAAUAUAGAAAAUUAAGAAUGCAUGAAUAUUGAGUAAAUAUCAAAAUUUUGAUCAUGUAUAAAACAUUCACCUCUCUGGAUUGUUAGCCAACUGAUGAAUCCUGAGAUUAGGGUUUGGACUUGGGCCCAUUCCCAGCACCCCAAUUGCAUGCUCUCCUCGGAUUUGUGAGGCGAUCUCGUAAGCUGUCCACCGAAAUCAGGGUUGCAGAUUGACGCUCUGCGUCACAAUGGGUCCUGUGAAGUCUGCAUCACCGAGUCUCACAUGCAUUGAUGCCGGUGAAUUGAUCGUUUUCGUGCAAAUUGUAACGUGGUUCGCAGCUUAAGGUGACCUUCACCUUCUUCGAGGUAUGGUCUUCAUCUUCCGCUAUUCCGAGGUUGAUAUCAAAGCCAUUCUCCGCGAGAUCAUCGAAUGGGGCGAUCGAUGUGGCACACACACCUCAUGCUCUCUAUCACCCACAGCACAGAUUAGUUCGAUCAGAGUCAAGCUUUGGAGUUAGCACCACUGCUAACCUAGAGCAGCAAAUCCAAAACCUGACCUGCGUCAUUAAGUGUCACUGUCCGACAGGUUCGUAGGACAGGCGUUAAUAAAGGAGAAAAUGAAGAUGAUUCGACUAAAGAUUUUGAUGCCCGUGCUUGUCAUUCCUAGGGUGUCGCAUCAUCUCCAAUAAUGAGAACCAGUCUCGUCGCCUGUCCAAGUCACCGAAAUACGGGGCAAUAUCUUCCUCGUCUCCAGAAGGUGGGGAAUGGUGAACACAGUGCAAUGGUGGUGUGAUGAAGCUGGGAUAAUUGGUGGCCAGCCGGUCGCAUUCAAAGUGGUAGAGGAGCACGGAAUUGGUAUGUUAUGUUGAUGGAUUUUGACCGGACAUCGGAGGUUGUGUGUCAGUUUCGGAGUUCCGUGGUCGGUUGAGUCUGGAUCAGGAUUUCCUGAAACCUGCGUGAUGGGAUUCGCAUGGUGAACGAUGUGAUGGGGUUGAUAGCAUUUUGGUGGUUUGUUAAUCACAUCGAUUAUGGUAGUGCAUUUUCUAAGAGCCCAGAAACUUUCAGCUUGGUUUUUCUAAGAGCACGCAGCAAGUUUCGGAAUACGCCGAGUUCAUGGAUCAGUGAAGGCGACGAUGAUUUGCACGACUCAAGCCCUAUGCGCAAGUUGAGAGUGUUCACCGAAAUGUAUGCUUGACAAAUUCAUUCCAUUCCUGCGUUUUCAAGUACCGUGUCGUGGGCCAUCGCCGCUUUAACCCCUCUAGUGCAGCACAGAGGAUUGACUGUCUUCCUCUCUUAAAUCACAACCCGAACAUAAAGGACCUCCUCGUUGAAUAUUCAGCGUCAACAUUGAGAGCUGAGUAGGGUGCAGUUAUACUUGGAAAGAUGGAAGCAGUGUCAAAGUCAAGCACGUAGAUUUCAGAUCAUCUGUUCUGCGAAGAAAACUACGACUCAAGCCACAUGGGUUGUCCAUUCACCCUUCGAUUCAAGCUGAACCAGCAAGCAAGGAUCGGGAAGGAUCAGGAAGGAUAGUAGUCGAGGUUGCAGGUUUGAGUAGAAUACUGAGACAUGACUGACUGACUCCUUUCGCAUGCGUGCAAGGAUGCACUAACUGAUUUACUACCAUGUGGGUGGUGCUGGUGCUGAAAGCUGCGGCGUUGCGUUGCGUUGCGUUGGGUGAUGUGAGUCAUCGUGUGAGCGUCUCCAUUGCAAACGGAGAUCACGUUUCUUCGGUAUGCACGUCCCUGGUUUCAACUAUCCUCAUCUGGAUGGAUGAGGGAUGGAUAAUGAAUUAAGCAUGGAUGGAUGGAGGAGGGUGGAUGAAGGAUGAAUGAGUUCUUAGACGAAAACGAUGAAGUGAUGGAUGUAAUAACAAACGAUUAGCAAUUGUUUAAUAUUUUA
Molecule: long non-coding RNA, 2557 nt
Organism: Physcomitrium patens
Lineage: Eukaryota; Viridiplantae; Streptophyta; Bryopsida; Funariales; Funariaceae
Source: RefSeq, a predicted model, not a curated record